RNAcentral lists this ribosomal RNA (490 nucleotides) under uncultured bacterium. Its description in RNAcentral is "partial 16S ribosomal RNA". It matches the Rfam family "Bacterial small subunit ribosomal RNA", at positions 29 to 523 of the family's 1533-position model. The record is from RNAcentral.
AAUGAACGUUGGCGGCGUGGAUUAGGCAUGCAAGUCGAGCGCGAUGAGUUUGGUAGCUUGCUAUUGAACUCGGAAAGCGGCGAAAGGGAGAGUAACGCGUAGUUACGUGCCCCAGGGUUCGGAAUAGCCACGGGAAACUGUGGGUAAUGCCGAAUAACAUCUCCGGAUCAAAGGUGUGAUUCCGCCCUGGGAGCGGACUGCGUCCUACUAGCUAGUUGGCGGGGUAAUGGCCCACCAAGGCAACAAUGGGUAGCGGGUGUGAGAGCAUGACCCGUCUCACUGGGACUGAGACACUGCCCAGACACCUACGGGUGGCUGCAGUCGAGAAUCUUCGGCAAUGGGCGAAAGCCUGACCGAGCGACGCCGCGUGCGGGAUGAAGGCCCUCGGGUUGUAAACCGCUGUCGUAGGGGAGGAAGGCUCUGUGAAGAACAGGGUUUGACCUAUCCUAGGAGGAAGUACGGGCUAAGUUCGUGCCAGCAGCCGCAGUAA